CCUACGGGAGGCAGCAGUCGGGAAUCUUGCACAAUGGGCGAAAGCCUGAUGCAGCAACGCCGUGUGAGCGACGAAGGCCCUAGGGUCGUAAAGCUCUGUUGUUAGGGACGAAGGGCGAAGGGUUAAUAGCCCUUAGCCUGACGGUACCUAUCGAGGAAGCCCCGGCUAACUACGUGCCAGCAGCCGCGGUAAU
RNAcentral lists this ribosomal RNA (193 nucleotides) under uncultured Rubrobacter sp. Its description in RNAcentral is "partial 16S ribosomal RNA". It matches the Rfam family "Bacterial small subunit ribosomal RNA", at positions 338 to 524 of the family's 1533-position model. Lineage: Bacteria; Bacillati; Actinomycetota; Rubrobacteria; Rubrobacterales; Rubrobacteraceae. The record is from RNAcentral.